UACGUAUGGUGCAAGCGUUAUCCGGAUUUACUGGGUGUAAAGGGAGCGUAGACGGCUGUGUAAGUCUGAAGUGAAAGCCCGGGGCUCAACCCCGGGACUGCUUUGGAAACUAUGCAGCUAGAGUGUCGGAGAGGUAAGUGGAAUUCCCAGUGUAGCGGUGAAAUGCGUAGAUAUUGGGAGGAACACCAGUGGCGAAGGCGGCUUACUGGACGAUGACUGACGUUGAGGCUUGAAAGCGUGGGGAGCAAACAGG
Molecule: ribosomal RNA, 253 nt
Filed under: Coprococcus comes ATCC 27758
Lineage: Bacteria; Bacillati; Bacillota; Clostridia; Lachnospirales; Lachnospiraceae
Description: partial 16S ribosomal RNA
Rfam family: Bacterial small subunit ribosomal RNA
Source: RNAcentral